RNAcentral lists this ribosomal RNA (468 nucleotides) under uncultured bacterium. RNAcentral describes it as "partial 16S ribosomal RNA". It matches the Rfam family "Bacterial small subunit ribosomal RNA", at positions 28 to 507 of the family's 1533-position model. The record is from RNAcentral.
GACGAACGCUGGCGGCGUGCUUAACACAUGCAAGUCGAACGGAAAGGCCCUGCUUUUGUGGGGUGCUCGAGUGGCGAACGGGUGAGUAACACGUGAGUAACCUGCCCUUGACUUUGGGAUAACUUCAGGAAACUGGGGCUAAUACCGGAUAUGAGCUCCUGCUGCAUGGUGGGGGUUGGAAAGUUUCGGCGGUUGGGGAUGGACUCGCGGCUUAUCAGCUUGUUGGUGGGGUAGUGGCUUACCAAGGCUUUGACGGGUAGCCGGCCUGAGAGGGUGACCGGCCACAUUGGGACUGAGAUACGGCCCAGAAUCCUACGGGAGGCAGCAGGGGGGAAUAUUGCACAAUGGGCGGAAGCCUGAUGCAACAACGCCGCGUGCGGGAUGACGGCCUUCGGGUUGUAAACCGCUUUCGCCUGUGACGAAGCGUGAGUGACGGUAAUGGGUAAAGAAGCACCGGCUAACUACGUG